Long non-coding RNA from Cucurbita maxima (winter squash), 799 nucleotides. RefSeq lists it as uncharacterized. NCBI's taxonomy places the organism in Eukaryota, Viridiplantae, Streptophyta, Magnoliopsida, Cucurbitales, Cucurbitaceae. The transcript has 3 exons. The record is from RefSeq and is a predicted model, not a curated record.
GUAGAAAAGGAAAAGUGAAAUGAUGAAUAUGCAGCUGCACAUCGGUGACGAGAAGUUUCAUUGUCUGCUAUGUGCAGCAAACUACAAGAGUUGGUGCUUUUCUAUGUAUUGUUUUUUGUAGGUAUGUGAGCAACAAAUUAUUUGUUCAGAUGAACAGAUGUCGACUUCAAAUGGUGAAAAGUUUGGUUCACAAAAUGCCAUGCAAUUUGAAAAUGUACAGAUGUUAAAGAACAUACAAGAUUCUGCUUAUCUUACAUCUUUUUUCAAUCUCUUUCCUCAUCGUCUUCUCUUAUGGAUAUAAAACUGUGACCACCUCUGCCUCUCUCUCAUCUCUGUGUUGAUGAAAGUUUUUAACAAAUUUUUUUUUUCUCUCCCAGUGGUCUUAAUGGAUUUCUCAGUUUCUGGAAGCACAGUGAUUGAGGUGUGAACAUCCACAUCUCAUUAAACAUGUGAAUGGAAGAUUGGGUCAAAGCCCAAACAGCCCAGGGUCGACCGUCCUCUUUGGUUGCGCCUCUUUUCUUCUUGUCCGGCCAAUUCCGGUCGUCUAUCCAACGUUCCAUCCACUUUUAUCCCAACUUUGGAAGGAAACGCAGGAAACCCAACUUCAUCUUAGCGAGGUAAGUUUCACUAAGCUCGUUCAAACCUCCCUUUCAAAUGAACUUUUUUUUCAUUGUUGUCUGAAGAUCAAUAUCAAAUACGUUCCCUUCUCCAAAAUUUGAGCACAACCGUUCUCAUCAAAACCAAAGCCUAAAGAUUCUGAACUUUUUGGACUUUCAGCAUGUCAAGCACUUAUACCAAU